GACAGUUUUCAGAGUGCUCGUCAAGUGUGAGAAUUUAUUUUGAGACAUCAGGAAUGUGUGAAUUGCUUCUUCAUUAUUAACUACUUCUAAAUAUCAUGCUCAACCCCCUUUUUUUAAGCUAAGUGGGGUUUCUAAUAACCUCAGUUUGGGGAAGAAGAGGUACUUCAUGUCAGUAGUCCAAAUUUACUCUGCAAAACAAAGGAUUAAAUUUUGCCCAUCCAAAGCAGUCCUUGUUCUGAGGGUGCCGUGGCAGCUGCUGCUGAAGGCCAAGCUGCAGGGGGAUUUCCUGCACGGGGCUGAAGCGAGCUGGCAGAGCAGUGUGUAGGAGGUGUAACACAUAGCUCGAUUUCCCGAUUUCCCGGGCCAGGGAGCUGGAGCUGCUCACUUUGCUCCAAGCUUAGGAGCAUGGUGCUGCUGCUGCUGUGCCUCAAUCCUGAAUCAGAUCACAGAGCUUGUUUGCAUGGCUGGGGACAUGUCUCAGGUCAGCGUCCAGAGACCACGUGCCUGUGUCUUUCAGAACACACACGACCUGGAGCACACUGCAUUUCUAAAAUCUUUAACAAAUCACUAGCAGCCUUGCUUGGACAACUUCCAAAGCACAUUCUGUUGCUGCUGCUUUUCUUAGGUGUACUUCUGGAAACUACAUUUCCUUGGUCUGUGUUAUAAAGUAGCAUUUUUAUAUGUCAUUUGCCUUAUUCCCCUCCCUCUGCCAUAUGGAGACAGAGAAUUAAGGUCAUGUUUCCAGAAGGGUGUUGCUCAUAAUGGCACAGAGGGUUCAGAAAAAAGCAGAAUGGCAAACAAACUCCCAGCCUGGAGAAACGUGGACUUUUUCCCAAGCCUAUUAAGAACUAGCAGUAUCAUUGUCAGGAGCUUAGUGCCCCAGUCUUUGCCUUCGGCCCGCCAUGCUGCUUAGCCACGUGUACCAUGGAUUCAGCAGGACCAUGUGUCUACACUGUCUACAGCAAGAGGGUAAUUCCUACAGUGCAUUUGGAUAUUGUUAGCUAUGGGUUUCAAAGGCACCGAGAACAUGCAGGCUGCAAUACAAAAUCUGGUGAAAACAGCUGAUGUUACUGUUUCAUUCCAUGAGACCUAUGGAUGUGAAAAGCAGUGUAGGAUUUUUCUCCCGUUUUCAGUAAUUGUUUUCCUCAUUUCCUCUUCAGUGAAACAUGCUGUAUUUCAUGCAAGUGUUUUAAAAGGCUGUCGCGUGUUUCCUUUAACUUCAACCCACUUACAGAGGUGAAAAAGUGAAAAGCCCUUCGACUAAGAAGAAAGUAAAUAGCUACUAUGUUCCUCUAAUAAUUUUCAGAUAAAACACCCACUGUGGAUUGUGAUUAAAAUUAGUUUUCCUUUAAUGGGGAUGCAACUACAACUGCAGCAUGUCACAUUUACAUCCAAAAUUAAUUAAAUUAAUUAAGCUUCAACAGCAAUAAGCCUCCGGAAAUUUUUAUUUCCAGAGUUCCCUGGAGCACUGCAUUUCAAACAAGAAUGCAGCAAGGCUUUGGAUGCUGGAGGGGCGGCAUCACAUGCUGUCUUGAAUGUUGCUGUUCUGCAGCGGGUGGAAAUUUUUUUUUCUAAAACAUGACAUUUUUUAUCACUCUGGGAAUGUGAAGCCAACACAUUUAAGGAAAUUGCUUGCAUAUAAAGUACACCAAAUCAGCUGGUAAUCCUGGCCACACAUCAGAAACAUCGGCGUGGAGCCUCUCACAUUGUCUCUGCUGAUCUGUGCCCAUCUAAACCGGCACAGCCAUUAUCAGUGCGCUUCCACAGGAAAGGUAUUGACUCCUCCUAACCCACUUCCCUCUGGAAGAAUUGCAUCUGCUUUAGCACUCCAAAACACUGACCCUAAAGGGCAUCUUCACAUUCACAUUUUUGCUUGUGUGCUUUUGUUAAAGUCAUGCUCUAUUAAAAAAAAUGCAGGAGGUGAGACUCCCAGUUACGGAAAACAGCUACCACUGUAACUUCAGAGUAACAAUUAAAACGACUGAUGUUCAGACCUGUCGCUGACCUCACCUACUCCUCUACCAGCCCUUCCUCCAGGGCUCUUCUCUAGGAGCUCUUUGCUACUGCCAGACCAAGACUGCCUGUGCUGGUGGUGCCGUUGUGCAUGCAGCCUUUGACUCAUUUCCUUGAACUUCCCACCACCAUCAGCCCCAGGACGGUCCCAGCAGCAAGGAUGAGCCCCAUGGAUGGCGCCUUCUUGGGUGAUGCAACACGAUGGUGUUGGGAUGGGGUCCAUGGCUCUGUUGUCCAUCUGCCAGCACCUUGGACAGGAAUCAUUUGCUCUCUCACAGACUUAUUUUUAGGCAAGAGAAACGUGAAGCUUGCGCAAAUGUUUAAACACAUGUCUCUCUUGAAUUAUUCAGUGUACUUUGCCUGCUUCUGGAGUUAAUUAAAAUGGAGGGCAGUCGAUAGCGAGCUCUCAAUUCACCGUAGGGAGGAAGCAGCAAACUGUGGCAGACAAAGUGCUGAUAACCACCUUCCCUCCCCACCCCUCCUGCACCACAAGCUGCCACACCGUAACUGCUGUGCUCCCUUGGCAGUGGUGACCAGAUGCAGCAGAGCACCAAAUCUUAACAAGUUUGCCUUAAUUUAAGGAAACCAGUGUAUGCACAGCACUAGGGACUAACAUGUCCCGAGCUGUGUUUGAGGCUGCAGUGCUUGAUUUCAGAAGGUCCAGGGAACCACCCAAAAAGAGAGUUGUUUCCCUCCUGAACAGCCUCACACCUUUCCCCCAGCCCCAUUUUCUGCUACGGUUGAAUGUGGCUUUUUCCAGUGUCAGAUGCACAUCCCUGUGCAUCACAAAAAACCCUGACUAAGGGCAGCUCUUGUCCUCUUGAAGUCAAUGGGGAACUUGAGAUUGGGAUCAGAAUUUCACCUCUCAUUUGAAGUAUAGGCCUGAGCCACAGCCCUUUGGAGUCAAGAGGGGUUCUUCCUCUGGCUCCAGCAGUGUUUGGUCCCAGAAAGCUUGGAACGUUAGCCCAACAUAAAUCCAUCAUCUCAUGUAAGAGUGUAUUAAUCCACCCACAGAUCCAUGCCCCCCUCCUGCUCCCAUGAAAGGUUAUGAAGAGCAAAUUACGUACCAAGCUGCACAACCUUGACUUCAUCAUCUGCCUGAAUACAGAAAUGAUAGCAGUAACUUUGGUACUGUACCACACAGAAACACUCGGUUUCUGAGGAGUUUUUUUGUCCACAAUCAAACACUAAUUAAAGUCACCAUUUCCCUUUGUGAAUCACAUGAAUGACAAAAAUGCAGGGUUUACAUAUUAUUCAACAACUCAGCUAGUAUUUAUCUCCAAAAGAUGAGAUACAGUCAGAAAUAUUUUAUGCAUAGAGCAGAAAUGAUUGUGUCGUCCUCUGUUCACGGUACUCCUGGGGACUACUUUUCCCGGUAACAGGCAGGUGUAAUUGCCAUUACUGUAACUGCAGUGUUUGCACUGGGUGGAAAAGGAGCCCUCACCUGCAAACAGGAGCAAGAACAUCAUCACAGCACUCUGCUGAGAAUAGCAAGAGCGGGAAUGCAGCUCCAACACAUCGAUCCAAUUUUACUCAAAGAAAAUACUGCCACAGUUGAGCUGAGCAUAUUUGUAAUGAAUGAAUAAUGCUGAAUUAUUGUCAAACUCAGGAGAUUUUGCAGGCGGGGUGCUCUAACUGAGCAGGUUUGGAGCUGGCAUGCCAAGAAGGUAUCUCUGCACCUGAAGAAAAUCAACGUUGCACAGCUGAGCCCCCAACAUUUCUGAUCACACAGACUUCACCAGAGCCUUCAUCCACUUGGUUUUUUCAUUCCACUUUGUCCAACAUCUCCAGGUUCACAUUCAGAAAUUGCUUAACCUGACCUAAAACCAAGUUACAUUCUGGUUCAUCUAACAUUUGCACAUAUCGGGACAUUCCAAUUAGGCUACUUGAUUUGUAAAGAUCUUUAAUCAAGAAGGUCUGGAUUAAAGUUCAAAUGCUCUGUGCUAGCCAGAAACGAUUUGAAUGAACAGUAAUUAAAACACAGUCUGAUUCAUACAGGGCACUGCUGGACUUCGAAAAGACAACUGUGUGCUUGAAACUCUGUUGGGAAUGAUUCUUUUUAUUUUAGUACAACUGAAACGAGGCUUUUUGGUACCGAUGGUUCACUCUGAACAGUAACAGGAGUCACAUUUUUUUUUU
This is a long non-coding RNA of Falco peregrinus (peregrine falcon), 4152 nucleotides long. RefSeq lists it as uncharacterized. The transcript has 2 exons. The record is from RefSeq and is a predicted model, not a curated record. Lineage: Eukaryota; Metazoa; Chordata; Aves; Falconiformes; Falconidae.